GACGAACGCUGGCGGCGUGCUUAACACAUGCAAGUCGAGCGGUAAGGCCUUUCGGGGUACACGAGCGGCGAACGGGUGAGUAACACGUGGGUGUUCUGCCCUGCACUUCGGGAUAAGCCUGGGAAACUGGGUCUAAUACCGGAUAUGACCUCCUAUCGCAUGGUGGGUGGUGGAAAGAUUUAUCGGUACAGGAUGGGCCCGCGGCCUAUCAGCUUGUUGGUGGGGUAAUGGCCUACCAAGGCGACGACGGGUAGCCGACCUGAGAGGGUGACCGGCCACACUGGGACUGAGACACGGCCCAGACUCCUACGGGAGGCAGCAGUGGGGAAUAUUGCACAAUGGGCGAAAGCCUGAUGCAGCGACGCCGCGUGAGGGAUGACGGCCUUCGGGUUGUAAACCUCUUUCAGCAGGGACGAAGCGCAAGUGACGGUACCUGCAGAAGAAGCACCGGCUAACUACGUG
RNAcentral lists this ribosomal RNA (462 nucleotides) under uncultured bacterium. Its description in RNAcentral is "partial 16S ribosomal RNA". It matches the Rfam family "Bacterial small subunit ribosomal RNA", at positions 28 to 507 of the family's 1533-position model. The record is from RNAcentral.